RNAcentral lists this ribosomal RNA (593 nucleotides) under Leptodontidium sp. BESC803l. RNAcentral's name for it is "eukaryotic LSU rRNA". It matches the Rfam family "Eukaryotic large subunit ribosomal RNA", at positions 1 to 599 of the family's 3401-position model. The record is from RNAcentral. Lineage: Eukaryota; Fungi; Ascomycota; Leotiomycetes; Helotiales; Leptodontidiaceae.
ACCUCGGAUCAGGUAGGGAUACCCGCUGAACUUAAGCAUAUCAAUAAGCGGAGGAAAAGAAACCAACAGGGAUUACCUCAGUAACGGCGAGUGAAGCGGUAACAGCUCAAAUUUGAAAGCUGGCUCUUUUAGGGUCCGCGUUGUAAUUUGUAGAAGAUGCUUCGGGUGUGGCCCCGGUCUAAGUUCCUUGGAACAGGACGUCAUAGAGGGUGAGAAUCCCGUAUGUGACUGGGUGCUUUCGCUCAUGUGAAGCUCUUUCGACGAGUCGAGUUGUUUGGGAAUGCAGCUCAAAAUGGGUGGUAAAUUUCAUCUAAAGCUAAAUAUUGGCCAGAGACCGAUAGCGCACAAGUAGAGUGAUCGAAAGAUGAAAAGCACUUUGGAAAGAGAGUUAAACAGUACGUGAAAUUGUUGAAAGGGAAGCGCUUGCAACCAGACUUGCGCGCUGAUGAUCAUCCGGGCUUCUGCCCGGUGCACUCGUCUGCGCUCAGGCCAGCAUCGGUUUCGGUGGUGGGAUAAAGGCCUUGGGAAUGUGGCUCCUCUCGGGGAGUGUUAUAGCCCUCGGUGCAAUGCCGCCAACCGGGACCGAGGACCNC